GACGAACGCUGGCGGCGUGCUUAACACAUGCAAGUCGAACGAAAAGGCCCUGCUUUUGUGGGGUGCUCGAGUGGCGAGCGGGUGAGUAACACGUGAGUAACCUGCCCUUGACUUUGGGAUAACUUCAGGAAACUGGGGCUAAUACCGGAUAGGAGCUCCUGCUGCAUGGUGGGGGUUGGAAAGUUUCGGCGGUUGGGGAUGGACUCGCGGCUUAUCAGCUUGUUGGUGGGGUAGUGGCUUACCAAGGCUUUGACGGGUAGCCGGCCUGAGAGGGUGACCGGCCACAUUGGGACUGAGAUACGGCCCAGACUCCUACGGGAGGCAGCAGUGGGGAAUAUUGCACAAUGGGCGGAAGCCUGAUGCAGCAACGCCGCGUGCGGGAUGACGGCCUUCGGGUUGUAAACCGCUUUCGCCUGUGACGAAGCGUGAGUGACGGUAAUGGGUAAAGAAGCACCGGCUAACUACGUG
RNAcentral lists this ribosomal RNA (468 nucleotides) under uncultured bacterium. RNAcentral describes it as "partial 16S ribosomal RNA". It matches the Rfam family "Bacterial small subunit ribosomal RNA", at positions 28 to 507 of the family's 1533-position model. The record is from RNAcentral.